GCAGCAAACAUCAAUUUUCACCUACAAACAUAUUUGCACAGUUCAAUAAUAUCAGAAUCAUAUCUUUUCAAGCUAAAUGCUAUUACUUAAGGAAAAACAGGGUCAAAAUUAUGGCUCACAAUAUUCAUUCCAACAUCAUCAAUUUGGUUGCCAAGAAAAUAUUAUACUUUGAGGACACCUGGCACCCAAAGCACCACACCCCCCCAAGAAUGCAACACCAUUGAAUUACCAAAAUUUUUGAUAUAGAAAUUUAUAUGUUCACCGAUCCAAAUGCUUCAUCAAACAAGUUUAAGCUACAUGCCACAUGAUGAAGCAAUGAAUAAAAUUUGUCAAAAUUACUUGAAAGAAGCAUAAGCUCAGAGUAAGCAAGGAUUUAAACAUUUUGUUGCAUGACUGCCCAUAUUCAUCUCACUGCCAUUAUUUUCUUAAGAUGGCGCAUGCUUUAAAAUUUCUUUCUUGCACCAAGAGUUGUCUGGACAAUUCUUACAACAUCUUUCUGAUAAUAUUUCAUUUUGAUUCAUCAUAAACAAUUUUCCUUAACAAAAAAAUAAUAGUCUUCACUUAUAUCAGUUGCAUCCAUAAAACAUUGUGGUGAAGUCACAUCUCAACUAAAUAUCACAUUUCAUCAUUCAACACUUUCACAUUCUCAUACUGUCAUCGAAUAUAACAUCCUUUUUUACAAGCAAAUAAUUUACUGUUUCCCUCAACU
Molecule: unclassified non-coding RNA, 709 nt
Filed under: Hevea brasiliensis (rubber tree)
Lineage: Eukaryota; Viridiplantae; Streptophyta; Magnoliopsida; Malpighiales; Euphorbiaceae
Source: RNAcentral